GUGUCAGCCGCCGCGGUAAUACGGAGGGUGCAAGCGUUAUCCGGAUUCACUGGGUUUAAAGGGUGCGUAGGCGGCCUGUCAAGUCAGUGGUGAAAGCCCGCGGCUUAACCGUGGAAUUGCCAUUGAAACUGACUGGCUCGAGUGUGAUUGAAGUGGGCGGAAUACAUCAUGUAGCGGUGAAAUGCUUAGAUAUGAUGUAGAACACCGAUUGCGAAGGCAGCUCACUAAGUCACAACUGACGCUGAGGCACGAAAGCGUGGGGAUCAAACAGGAUUAGAUACCCCUGUAGUCC
This 292-nucleotide ribosomal RNA is filed under the name uncultured bacterium. Its description in RNAcentral is "partial 16S ribosomal RNA". It matches the Rfam family "Bacterial small subunit ribosomal RNA", at positions 505 to 796 of the family's 1533-position model. The record is from RNAcentral.